GCUGAGUCUAGUGGAUGAUGUGC
Molecule: microRNA, 23 nt
Filed under: Daphnia pulex (common water flea)
Lineage: Eukaryota; Metazoa; Arthropoda; Branchiopoda; Diplostraca; Daphniidae
Description: Dpu-Mir-29-P2_5p* (star (passenger))
Source: RNAcentral